This 267-nucleotide long non-coding RNA is filed under the name Sorghum bicolor (sorghum). RNAcentral describes it as "long non-coding RNA (SBIC_LNC006346)". The record is from RNAcentral. Lineage: Eukaryota; Viridiplantae; Streptophyta; Magnoliopsida; Poales; Poaceae.
GUGCCGUUGCCGGGGAGAAAGACGGUUUGCUGAGAUAACUUUGAGUCUUGCUAUUAUCUUGUAUUAUACUUUUAUACUUUUAUUCUUUUAUCUUUUUAUUUUUAUCUUUAUGGAUAACUCAAAUUCCAUACCUAUCAUUGAAUUCUUUGCACCUUCGGAGACCAGCCAUAGACCAUGGGAGUCAACACGUUCUGCCCCUAAUUAUGAUCUGUGUCCGGAGUUGAUUGCAAUAGGUCAAAACCAACCCUUUUCUAUAGCUGAGGUCCU